UGAGAUAGCCGGACAAUCGCGGACACAAGUCGAAAGGCUGUGUAUGAGGAAAGUCCGGGCUCUUUAGAACCAAGGGCGCCGGGUAGUUCCCGGUGAAGGCGACUUUAAGGAUAGUGCAACAGAGAUAUACCGCCGGCCGCGAGGCCGGUAAGGGUGGAAAGGCAGGGUAAGAGCCUACCGGCGGCAUGGUAACAUGCCGGCCAUGUAAACCCCGUCCGGAGCAACACCGUGGAGGAACAUAUGCUGAGGUUCAGGCGUUCCGAGGAGGUGGCUUGAGCCCUGAUGAGAGUCAGGGCCUAGAUAAAUGAUUGUCCAAGACAGAACCCGGCUUAUAGGCUAUCUCAGAUU
This 348-nucleotide RNase P RNA is filed under the name Clostridiaceae bacterium. RNAcentral's name for it is "RNase P RNA component class A". It matches the Rfam family "Bacterial RNase P class A". From Rfam's summary of the family: Ribonuclease P (RNase P) is a ubiquitous endoribonuclease, found in archaea, bacteria and eukarya as well as chloroplasts and mitochondria. Its best characterised activity is the generation of mature 5'-ends of tRNAs by cleaving the 5'-leader elements of precursor-tRNAs. RNAcentral also lists the same sequence under 1 other name. Lineage: Bacteria; Bacillati; Bacillota; Clostridia; Eubacteriales; Clostridiaceae. The record is from RNAcentral.